This 323-nucleotide long non-coding RNA is filed under the name Sus scrofa (pig). RNAcentral describes it as "lncRNA (ENSSSCG00070026816.1)". The record is from RNAcentral. Lineage: Eukaryota; Metazoa; Chordata; Mammalia; Artiodactyla; Suidae.
AGCUGCUUUUCAGUAUCUUUUUAACCUAAGAGUAUUUGGCUUUAUUCUGAUUCUUGUCACAGUUUUACCACACUUGGAAGUAAUCUCUCACCUUCUGAACAACCAUGACAUCCCUCCAAAAUGUCCAUCCCCCACUGGUGGUUACUCUGAAAUAUUACUCAGUCUACUGAGCAGUGAAAGUUGACUCAAGAUUCCUGGAAGGAAGGUGAGUGGCUGACCUCCUGUUCCACUGCCUGGAAUCUCCUCGGACUCUGGAACAGAGAAUUUAAAAUAUUAAUGCUUUGAAUAAUAAAUUAGAGCUUAAAGUAAAUGAGGUAUGAGCA